UCCAGACUCCUACGGGAGGCAGCAGUGAGGAAUAUUGGUCAAUGGGCUUACGCCUGAACCAGCCAAGUCGCGUGAGGGAAGACUGCCCUAUGGGUUGUAAACCUCUUUUGUCAGGGAGCAACGCCGGCUACGUGUAGCCGGACUGAGAGUACCUGAAGAAAAAGCAUCGGCUAACUCCGUGCCAGCAGCCGCGGUAAUACGGAGGAUGCGAGCGUUAUCCGGAUUUAUUGGGUUUAAAGGGUGCGUAGGCGGAGUGUCAAGUCAGCGGUAAAAUUUCGGGGCUCAACCCCGUCGUGCCGUUGAAACUGACACCCUUGAGUGAGUGAGAAGUAAGCGGAAUGCGUGGUGUAGCGGUGAAAUGCAUAGAUAUCACGCAGAACUCCGAUUGCGAAGGCAGCAUACCGGCGCGCAACUGACGCUCAUGCACGAAAGCGUGGGUAUCGAACAGGAUUAGAUACCCGGGUAAC
RNAcentral lists this ribosomal RNA (467 nucleotides) under uncultured bacterium. RNAcentral describes it as "bacterial SSU rRNA". It matches the Rfam family "Bacterial small subunit ribosomal RNA", at positions 330 to 795 of the family's 1533-position model. The record is from RNAcentral.